This 460-nucleotide ribosomal RNA is filed under the name uncultured bacterium. Its description in RNAcentral is "partial 16S ribosomal RNA". It matches the Rfam family "Bacterial small subunit ribosomal RNA", at positions 338 to 795 of the family's 1533-position model. The record is from RNAcentral.
CCUACGGGUGGCAGCAGUGAGGAAUAUUGGUCAAUGGACGAGAGUCUGAACCAGCCAAGUAGCGUGAAGGAUGACUGCCCUAUGGGUUGUAAACUUCUUUUAUAAAGGAAUAAAACGAGGCACGUGUGCCUUUUUGCAUGUACUUUAUGAGUAAGGAUCGGCUAACUCCGUUCCAGCAGCCGCGGUAAUACGGAGGAUCCGAGCGUUAUCCGGAUUUAUUGGGUUUAAAGGGAGCGUAGAUGGGUUGUUAAGUCAGUUGUGAAAGGUUGCGGCUCAACCGUAAAAUUGCAAUUGAUACUGGCAGUCUUGAGUACAGUUGAGGUAGGCGGAAUUCGUGGUGUAGCGGUGAAAUGCUUAGAUAUCACGAAGAACCCCGAUUGCGAAGGCAGCUUACUAAACUGUGACUGACAUUGAUGCUCGAAAGUGUGGGUAUCAAACAGGAUUAGAUACCCCUGUAGUC